Molecule: long non-coding RNA, 927 nt
Organism: Magnolia sinica
Lineage: Eukaryota; Viridiplantae; Streptophyta; Magnoliopsida; Magnoliales; Magnoliaceae
Exons: 3
Source: RefSeq, a predicted model, not a curated record
UAAUACUUGCAAUUGGGAUUUCACCUUGCAACUGCAAUGAAUUGUUUUUAUUGUGAUUUGAGUUUGUGGAAAGCUGAUCUAUGCCUUUUCACACCUCCUGAAGUAUGUGCAUUUUCCAUUUUCCUUUUCAUGACCCACGUUUUAUUAAUAUUUGUCCUUUCAUGCAUGUUUCUGCUUGAGUGUAAUCUAUCCUGCCCUGAACAUAAAGAAUUGCCUCAAAAGUGAUGCUUGUGUUCCCUAUUUUUACCAGUGUUUCUUUGUUUCUUUCUAGGAAAAUGUCAAGACAAAGCAUCCCCAAUUCUUGUAUGAAUCAAAGUUGUACAGGAUCCUACAGGGAGGAACUGGAAUUCCAAAUGUUAGAUGGUUUGGUGUUGAAGGUGACUAUAAUGUUCUAAUGACGGACUUGUUGGGUCUGAGCUUGGAAGACCUUUUCAACUUCUGCAGUAGGAAACUAUCUUUGAAGUCUGUUCUUAUGCUCACCGAUCAAAUGAUCAACCGAGUUGAGUUUGUUCAUGCCAAGUCUUUUCUACAUCGAGAUAUCAUGCCAGAUAAUUUUCUUAUGGGCCUAGGGAUAUGAGCAAAUCAGGUGAUUUAUUGGUUUUUUGAAGUUUACUUUGGGUGUUCUGUUCAAGAGCAUUAUGAAUAUUUGGCAUGAUGUGCGGUGUACUGUUGCACUUGGAGCACCACAGAGUGCAGAGAGUACCACAGAGUGCAGAGAGUAUCAUCUAUGCAUCCACGUUUAAGGGAAACAGUGUGUUUAGCACAUCCCUCAAAAUGUUGAUGGCUGGAAAUGGUUUCCAUGCUACUAAAGUCAUAGUUUUAACCCAUUUCGAAGUGCAUGCAAAUGCACCCAAGAAAAAUAAGUUGCAGAAGAAAAUAAAAAAUGUCACAAAAAAUUGGCAGUAUCUUAGAUGACAUUAAUAAUAU